GAUGAACGCUGGCGGCGUGCCUAAUACAUGCAAGUCGAGCGAACAGACGAGGAGCUUGCUCCUCUGACGUUAGCGGCGGACGGGUGAGUAACACGUGGAUAACCUACCUAUAAGACUGGGAUAACUUCGGGAAACCGGAGCUAAUACCGGAUAAUAUAUUGAACCGCAUGGUUCAAUAGUGAAAGACGGUUUUGCUAUCACUUAUAGAUGGAUCCGCGCCGCAUUAGCUAGUUGGUAAGGUAACGGCUUACCAAGGCAACGAUGCGUAGCCGACCUGAGAGGGUGAUCGGCCACACUGGAACUGAGACACGGUCCAGACUCCUACGGGAGGCAGCAGUAGGGAAUCUUCCGCAAUGGGCGAAAGCCUGACGGAGCAACGCCGCGUGAGUGAUGAAGGUCUUCGGAUUGUAAAACUCUGUUAUUAGGGAAGAACAAAUGUGUAAGUAACUAUGCACGUCUUGACGGUACCUAAUCAGAAAGCCACGGCUAACUACGUG
Molecule: ribosomal RNA, 497 nt
Filed under: uncultured bacterium
Lineage: Bacteria
Description: partial 16S ribosomal RNA
Rfam family: Bacterial small subunit ribosomal RNA
Source: RNAcentral